Pomacea canaliculata is the source of this 395-nucleotide long non-coding RNA. RefSeq lists it as uncharacterized. The transcript has 3 exons. The record is from RefSeq and is a predicted model, not a curated record. NCBI's taxonomy places the organism in Eukaryota, Metazoa, Mollusca, Gastropoda, Architaenioglossa, Ampullariidae.
GUUGGAGCAAUGCCAGAAAAACAAGAAUUAAAUUGAGCUGGGACACAAACAUCCUGUUAGUAUUGUUCUUUGGCAAGCUUCGUCUUCCGUGUUCCACAAGCCUGUUUUCAUUUCAAUUUCUGGUAAAAUCAGAGACAGGGUAUUUGAGCACAUUGCCACGAAGUCGUCAAACAGUUUGUGGUUGAAGAACUGGAAGCCGCUUCUGUCGCUGAGGUCGUCUCUGGGUAUUAACAGUCCACCAUGAGAGCUUUCACCUUCUGCCUGCACUGUGUGUGCUUGUUCCUGUGCUGGAGGGACAGCGAGGUAUCCUAAGGCUCCCGUGCUCCCUCCAAACCCUCGCCCGCCCCUUCCAAAGCCUCCAAUUUUAAAUGUCCCCAGUAAUGGUGGCAAUCUGC